GGAUAGGAUAUACACCAUUUCGCGGCAUCGUCGCCAUUUUAUUCGUACUUGGUUGUUCACAAUUACUUUCAAUUACAGUAAAAGUAGUUUUUUUCUGUUUUGUAAACUGUAUUUUCGACGGUUUUGAUGUAAACUACCAUCAGCGGAUACGUGAGCGGAUACAUUUUCUUCUGUCUUACGUCUGAGAUCAGAUGAGACACCAUCUCCAGGAUCCUCAAUCCUUCAACCGAUUGUAUUGAACAAUAGAGCACAAAGAUUCAUUGGAGAGAACCAAACACCAGAUGAACCACCAUCUCCUGCAGUUUCAUACUUCUCUUUCAAAAGCAACCAUUCGAUGAAUUGGCAGUAUGAAUUUAACAGAAUUCAGAGUUAUGGUGUUAACAGUGAACUAUUUGAGGCACUGUCCCCAGCACCCUCACUCCUGUCUGUAAAGAGUAAUGAGUCAAUGGAUGGGCCAGUUGUGACAAGAGAGAGACUACAUAAUUGCAGGUAUAAAAUUAAAUGAUGUAUGCAUAUAUUGUGCUUCAUGU
Molecule: long non-coding RNA, 530 nt
Filed under: Sinocyclocheilus anshuiensis
Lineage: Eukaryota; Metazoa; Chordata; Actinopteri; Cypriniformes; Cyprinidae
Description: lncRNA (ENSSANG00000027869.1)
Source: RNAcentral